This is a non-coding RNA of Cinara cedri, 212 nucleotides long. NCBI's taxonomy places the organism in Eukaryota, Metazoa, Arthropoda, Insecta, Hemiptera, Aphididae. The record is from the annotation of a GenBank genome assembly.
ACACUUUUGAACGUUUUUCAGAAAUAAGAUGUUCAUUUGAAAAAAGAAAUUAAAUUUCUGUUUCAACCAUAUCCUAGUAAAUGACUUGAAUAAAUCAUAAUCCGUUUUCGUAUUAUAAAUCCGUCGAACAGAAUAUCCUACAGUUUUGUCUGGCUUUUGGGUCUAAAUCGACUAAAAAAUAAGUACACCAUUAUCAAUUUCCAUUAAGUCUG